UACGGAGGGGGCUAGCGUUGUUCGGAAUUACUGGGCGUAAAGCGCACGUAGGCGGCUUUGCAAGUUAGAGGUGAAAGCCCGGGGCUCAACUCCGGAAUUGCCUUUAAGACUGCAUCGCUAGAAUUGUGGAGAGGUAAGUGGAAUUCCGAGUGUAGAGGUGUAAUUCGUAGAUAUUCGGAAGAACACCAGUGGCGAAGGCGACUUACUGGACACAUAUUGACGCUGAGGUGCGAAAGCGUGGGGAGCAAACAGG
Molecule: ribosomal RNA, 253 nt
Filed under: uncultured bacterium
Lineage: Bacteria
Description: partial 16S ribosomal RNA
Rfam family: Bacterial small subunit ribosomal RNA
Source: RNAcentral